CAUCACAUCCGACUAAAAAAAUGACCAGGGAAACAGAAGGCUGACAGACAUAUUCAUAGAAAAUAUGAAAAAGCCCUGCCUGUUGCCGUGUUGGAACUUGUAUUGACCAUCUUUGGGACAAGGGAAAUUAACAUAGAUUGUAAAUCUAAGGACUCUGGAUUGACGAACUUGAAGAGCAGAAGAUGCAUUCCAUGACUCUUAUAUGAUAUAGAAGACAAAGAAGAGCUCUUGAGAAUGGAAAAAAAACUGCGAGGUUUACAGUCAAUGAACACACCUCACGACACAAGUCCAUCCUGAUUCAGUAAACUAUUCUUCUAAGGAAACACCAUGACUUAGUUAAGAUCAAGUUUUGGUGUCAGAAGACUAAUGUAACUAAAACAUUGCAAAAUUAACCUGCAAGUGUCUUAUGUGAGCCUACUGAAUAAGGAUUCAUUACUGAACAGUUGAAGGAAAAUCACUAUUAUAAUGAUUUUUAAAAAAAGAUGAUUGUGUUGUUUGGAUAACAUUGUGAUCCAUGUUUGUUGAAUAAACAACUUUGC
Long non-coding RNA from Ostrea edulis (European flat oyster), 539 nucleotides. RefSeq lists it as uncharacterized. The transcript is spliced from 3 exons. The record is from RefSeq and is a predicted model, not a curated record. Lineage: Eukaryota; Metazoa; Mollusca; Bivalvia; Ostreida; Ostreidae.